RNAcentral lists this ribosomal RNA (576 nucleotides) under uncultured bacterium. Its description in RNAcentral is "bacterial SSU rRNA". It matches the Rfam family "Bacterial small subunit ribosomal RNA", at positions 347 to 916 of the family's 1533-position model. The record is from RNAcentral.
GGCAGCAGUGGGGAAUAUUGGACAAUGGGCGCAAGCCUGAUCCAGCAAUGCCGCGUGUGUGAAGAAGGCCUGCGGGUUGUAAAGCACUUUCAGUGGGGAGGAAGGUUUGAUGCUGAAUGAGCAUCAGAAUUGACGUUACCCAAAGAAGAAGCACCGGCUAACUCUGUGCCAGCAGCCGCGGUAAUACAGAGGGUGCGAGCGUUAAUCGGAAUUACUGGGCGUAAAGGGUGCGUAGGUGGUUUGCUAAGUCAGAUGUGAAAGCCCCGGGCUUAACCUGGGAACUGCAUUUGAAACUAGUAGACUUGAGUACGGUAGAGGGAAGUGGAAUUUCCGGUGUAGCGGUGAAAUGCGUAGAUAUCGGAAGGAACACCAGUGGCGAAGGCGACUUCCUGACCGCAACUGACACUGAGGCACGAAAGCGUGGGGAGCGAACAGGAUUAGAUACCCUGGUAGUCCACGCCGUAAACGAUGAGAACUAGAUGUUAGGGUGCUUGACACUUUAGUAUCGCAGCUAACGCGCUAAGUUCUCCGCCUGGGGAGUACGGCCGCAAGGUUAAAACUCAAAGGAAUUGACGG